GACGAACGCUGGCGGCGUGCUUAACACAUGCAAGUCGAACGGAAAGGCCCUGCUUUUGUGGGGUGCUCGAGUGGCGAACGGGUGAGUAACACGUGAGUAACCUGCCCUUGACUUUGGGAUAACUUCAGGAAACUGGGGCUAAUACCGGAUAGGAGCUACUGCUGCAUGGUGGGGGUUGGAAAGUUUCGGCGGUUGGGGAUGGACUCGCGGCUUAUCAGCUUGUUGGUGGGGUAGUGGCUUACCAAGGCUUUGACGGGUAGCCGGCCUGAGAGGGUGACCGGCCACAUUGGGACUGAGGGACGGCGCAGACUCCUACGGGAGGCAGCAGUGGAGAAUAUUGCACAAUGGGCGGAAGCCUGAUGCAGCAACGCCGCGUGCGGGAUGACGGCCUUCGGGUUGUAAACCGCUGUCGCCUGUGACGAAGCGUGAGUGACGGUAAUGGGUAAAGAAGCACCGGCUAACUACGUG
Molecule: ribosomal RNA, 468 nt
Filed under: uncultured bacterium
Lineage: Bacteria
Description: partial 16S ribosomal RNA
Rfam family: Bacterial small subunit ribosomal RNA
Source: RNAcentral